CAGCCGCCACGGUAAUACGAAGGGGGCUAGCGUUGCUCGGAAUUACUGGGCGUAAAGGGAGCGUAGGCGGAUCGUUUAGUCAGGGGUGAAAUCCCGGGGCUCAACCUCGGAACUGCCUUUGAUACUGGCGAUCUUGAGUAUGGGAGAGGUGUGUGGAACUCCGAGUGUAGAGGUGAAAUUCGUAGAUAUUCGGAAGAACACCAGUGGCGAAGGCGACACACUGGCCCAUUACUGACGCUGAGGCUCGAAAGCGUGGGGAGCAAACAGGAUUAGAUACCCCGGUAGUCCCUGUCUCUUAUAC
RNAcentral lists this ribosomal RNA (301 nucleotides) under uncultured bacterium. Its description in RNAcentral is "partial 16S ribosomal RNA". It matches the Rfam family "Bacterial small subunit ribosomal RNA", at positions 509 to 807 of the family's 1533-position model. The record is from RNAcentral.